Molecule: RNA transcript, 5923 nt
Organism: Microcebus murinus (gray mouse lemur)
Lineage: Eukaryota; Metazoa; Chordata; Mammalia; Primates; Cheirogaleidae
Gene: ATP2A2
Gene name: ATPase sarcoplasmic/endoplasmic reticulum Ca2+ transporting 2
Source: RefSeq, a predicted model, not a curated record
GGGAGGGCGCCGGGGGGAGGAGGCGGGGCCGCGCCGCCCGCGCCGCGCUGGGCGCUCUCGGCCAAUGAGCGGCGUCCACAUGCCGCGGCGGCGGCGAGAGGGGAGGCAGCGGCCGAUAAAUGCUAUUAGAGCAGCCGCCGCGGAGCCGUCCCCGACGCCACCUCCUUCUCCUCCGCCGCAGUUUCCUCCGCCGCUGUCGGGGGUGCGGAGCUGAGGGACCUGAGCGAGCGCGCCGCGCACCGCCCCGCCGGUUGUCCUCUCUCGGUCCGUCCCGCCCUCAGGGGUCGGCCGUGCUCCCCCUCCUCCGGCCCGGGCGGGGCUGCGAUUCACCUCAGGAGAGUGGGGAGGGGGCUCGGGGCCGCGGCCUGCGCUCUCGGCGGGCAGUUGAGGGCGAAGGAGGCCCUCCCUUCUGACGAGGGGAGGGAGGGUCGGGAGCCCCCCCAGCCACCCGGCAGCCAGGGCCGGGCUGCCAGAGGGGCGGUUGUCUGGGGGAGGGGGCGCGGGGUGAUUCAGCGCCCGGCGAGGCGGAAGCGGCCGGAGGAGGAGGAGGAGGGGUGAAGCCAGUCCGCGUCUGGGCGCCCGGGGUGGCACGAGCCCGCGGCCCGAGUGCGAGGCCGAGGCGAGGAGGCCGCGGGGACGGGAGGUGAGGCCGGUCCGGCCCCCCGAAGCCAUGGAGAACGCGCACACAAAGACGGUGGAGGAGGUGCUGGGCCACUUCGGCGUCAACGAGAGCACCGGGCUGAGCCUGGAGCAGGUCAAGAAGCUGAAAGAGAAAUGGGGCUCCAACGAGUUACCUGCUGAAGAAGGAAAAACCUUGCUGGAACUUGUGAUUGAGCAGUUUGAAGACUUACUAGUUAGAAUUUUAUUACUGGCAGCAUGUAUAUCUUUUGUUUUGGCUUGGUUUGAAGAAGGUGAAGAAACAAUUACAGCCUUUGUAGAACCUUUUGUAAUUUUACUUAUAUUAGUAGCCAAUGCAAUUGUGGGUGUAUGGCAGGAAAGAAAUGCUGAAAAUGCAAUUGAAGCCCUUAAGGAGUAUGAGCCUGAAAUGGGCAAAGUAUAUCGACAGGACAGAAAGAGUGUACAGCGGAUUAAAGCUAAAGACAUAGUUCCUGGCGAUAUUGUAGAAAUUGCUGUUGGUGACAAAGUUCCUGCUGAUAUAAGAUUAACUUCCAUCAAAUCUACAACUCUAAGAGUUGACCAGUCGAUUCUCACAGGUGAAUCUGUCUCUGUCAUCAAGCACACUGACCCUGUCCCUGACCCACGGGCUGUCAACCAAGAUAAGAAGAACAUGCUCUUUUCUGGUACAAACAUUGCUGCUGGGAAAGCUAUGGGAGUGGUAGUGGCAACUGGAGUUAACACUGAAAUUGGCAAGAUCCGGGAUGAAAUGGUGGCAACAGAACAGGAGAGAACACCUCUUCAGCAGAAACUAGAUGAGUUUGGGGAACAGCUUUCCAAAGUCAUAUCCCUUAUUUGCAUUGCCGUCUGGAUCAUAAACAUUGGGCACUUCAAUGACCCAGUUCAUGGAGGCUCCUGGAUCAGAGGUGCUAUUUACUACUUUAAAAUUGCAGUGGCCUUGGCUGUAGCAGCCAUUCCUGAAGGUCUGCCUGCUGUUAUCACCACCUGCCUGGCUCUUGGAACUCGCAGAAUGGCAAAGAAGAAUGCCAUUGUUCGAAGCCUCCCUUCUGUGGAAACCCUCGGUUGUACUUCUGUUAUCUGCUCAGACAAGACUGGUACACUUACAACAAACCAGAUGUCAGUCUGCAGGAUGUUCAUUCUGGACAGAAUUGAAGGUGAUACUUGUUCCCUUAAUGAGUUUACCAUAACUGGAUCAACAUAUGCACCUAUUGGAGAAGUGCAUAAAGAUGAUAAGCCAGUAAACUGUCACCAGUAUGAUGGACUUGUAGAAUUAGCAACAAUUUGUGCUCUUUGUAAUGACUCUGCCUUGGAUUACAAUGAGGCAAAGGGUGUAUAUGAAAAAGUUGGAGAAGCUACAGAGACCGCUCUAACUUGCCUGGUAGAGAAGAUGAAUGUAUUUGAUACCGAAUUGAAGGGUCUUUCUAAAAUAGAACGUGCAAAUGCCUGCAACUCGGUCAUAAAACAGCUGAUGAAAAAGGAAUUUACUCUAGAAUUUUCACGUGAUAGAAAAUCAAUGUCGGUUUACUGUACACCGAACAAACCAAGUAGGACAUCGAUGAGCAAGAUGUUUGUGAAGGGCGCUCCUGAAGGUGUCAUUGACAGGUGCACCCAUGUUCGAGUUGGAAGUACCAAGGUCCCUCUGACCCCUGGAGUCAAACAGAAGAUCAUGUCUGUCAUUCGGGAGUGGGGCAGCGGCAGCGACACACUGCGAUGCCUGGCCCUGGCCACUCACGACAACCCACUGAGACGAGAAGAAAUGCACCUUGAGGACUCUGCCAACUUUAUUAAAUAUGAGACCAAUCUGACAUUUGUCGGCUGCGUGGGCAUGCUGGACCCCCCGAGGAUUGAGGUGGCCUCUUCUGUGAAGCUGUGCCGCCAGGCAGGCAUCCGCGUCAUCAUGAUCACAGGGGACAACAAGGGCACUGCCGUGGCCAUCUGCCGCCGUAUUGGCAUCUUCGGGCAGGAUGAGGACGUGACGUCAAAGGCUUUUACAGGUCGGGAGUUUGAUGAACUCAGCCCCUCAGCCCAGAGAGAUGCCUGCUUGAAUGCCCGCUGUUUUGCUCGAGUUGAACCUUCCCACAAGUCUAAAAUCGUAGAAUUUCUUCAGUCUUUUGAUGAGAUUACAGCUAUGACUGGUGACGGUGUGAAUGAUGCUCCUGCUCUCAAGAAAGCCGAGAUUGGCAUUGCUAUGGGCUCUGGCACUGCAGUGGCUAAGACUGCCUCCGAGAUGGUUCUGGCAGAUGACAACUUCUCCACCAUCGUGGCUGCCGUCGAGGAGGGGCGGGCAAUAUACAACAACAUGAAGCAGUUCAUCCGCUACCUCAUCUCGUCUAAUGUGGGGGAAGUUGUCUGUAUUUUCCUGACAGCAGCCCUUGGAUUUCCUGAGGCUUUAAUUCCUGUCCAGCUGCUCUGGGUCAAUCUAGUGACAGAUGGCCUGCCUGCCACUGCACUGGGGUUCAACCCUCCUGAUCUGGACAUCAUGAGUAAGCCACCUCGGAACCCAAAAGAACCGCUGAUCAGUGGGUGGCUGUUUUUCCGUUACCUGGCUAUUGGCUGUUACGUCGGUGCCGCUACUGUGGGUGCUGCUGCGUGGUGGUUCAUUGCUGCUGAUGGCGGUCCAAGAGUAUCCUUCUACCAGCUGAGUCAUUUCCUGCAGUGUAAAGAGGACAAUCCGGACUUUGAAGGAGUAGAUUGUGAAGUCUUUGAGUCUCCUUACCCAAUGACCAUGGCGCUCUCUGUUCUAGUAACCAUAGAAAUGUGUAACGCCCUCAACAGCUUGUCUGAAAACCAGUCCUUGCUGAGGAUGCCCCCUUGGGAGAACAUCUGGCUCGUGGGCUCCAUCUGCCUGUCCAUGUCGCUCCACUUCUUGAUCCUCUAUGUGGAACCCUUGCCACUCAUCUUCCAGAUCACACCGCUGAAUGUGACCCAGUGGCUGAUGGUGCUGAAAAUCUCCUUGCCUGUGAUUCUCAUGGACGAGACGCUCAAGUUUGUGGCCCGCAACUACCUGGAACCCGGUAAAGAGUGUGUGCGUCCCGCCACCAAAUCCUGCUCGCUCUCGGCAUGCACCGAUGGGAUUUCUUGGCCGUUUGUGCUGCUCAUAAUGCCCCUGGUGGUCUGGGUCUAUAGCACAGACACUAACUUUAGUGAUAUGUUCUGGUCUUGACUGACAGUUUUCCAUAAAGAAGAUGUUUAACUUAAUCAAUUAAUUUUUUAUUGUUUAAAGCAACUGUCUAUUUCUGCUGAAUUUUCACAUGAACAUAUUGGCUGGUGACGGAGGUUUCAUACUCUAGAUUUUGUUUUGCUUUUUCUGACUCCAGUGGGGCGAGAUUUUCCUUUUUUAUACACAUAAUUAAAGUGUCCAUUGACAUGUACAGAGAACUAACACUAUUUUAUGCAAAUAUUUUUUUGUAGAUGAAAAAGCAUGUACAGUGUUCUGUUUAAUACUCAUCCUUGUAUAAAAAAAUAGUUGAGCCAGCAGACAUUGUCAGCAAAUUAAUUGGCAGCAGAUUUUAGGAAAUGAAUGUGUGUGGUUUUUUCUAAAACUAAAUAGCAUGUAUUGUGUCUUUUGCAUGAUAAUCUGGAUUUAAUUUGAUAUCACAGUCUAAUUUUUAUUCAUUAAGCCAAUUUUUCUGCACUGAGCAGAGUCCUGCUACCUCAGUCAGUAUUUUUUGGUUUGCCACUUCCCUCACCCCCUUCCCCCAGCCCUCUGUUCACCCCACCCCACCCACAUCCCCAGCCCCACUCGGCUUCUUCUGUAGGAUUUUGAUGGUCCUGUUUACAUCAGUCGUUUUAAUAAGAGGUAUGCCUGUUCUCGCUUGUGCAGAAAACAUUGUUCCAGAUUCGAUCGACUGGGUUUAUGUCCCUUCACAUAGUUUUUAAGGUUAUUUAUUUAAAUGUCUAAUGUAUUUUAUUGUAACAGACAUUGUUUUGCGCCAACAUUGCCUAUUUCAGUGGCACUUACAAUCUAGUAUAAAAAGUAAAAUAAAACAUUUUAAGUGGACAGAGAAAAAUAACGGUCUUGUUUUUAACUCUUAAGUGGCUUGCCUUGAUCUAAUAGGUAUGUCCAGCUUUCUAUUAAGUUCUUAGCUUAGAACUUGAGUUUUACUGUGCUUGAGGGGAAGAAGGAUCCUGUUCUGCUGCAUUAGGUAGUUGUAGGAAUUAUAUUUUUUAAUGUAUAGGCACUAAUUGUCAUCUGUGGUAUACAUUUUAUGCUAGUUUCUGCUGGCCUGUUCUAGCCUAGUGUAGAGAACAAACAUAAGGGCAAGUGUGUGUGUGUGUGUGUGUAUGUGCGUGUGUUUUGUAAAAUCUGUAAAUAGCACAUGACCAAAUGAACAUAUUGUAUAGAACUAUUUUUAUUUGAAUGUGGCACUAACCACCACCAUCUUUGCGCAUGUUCGAGAUCAGUCUUACCAACAGUAUAUAAGUCAUUAACAGUCCUAACUCUGGUGUUUUCCUCCAAUGCCUUCCAACAUCCAUCAACUAAUCAAUACUGGAGUAACCACUUCCUAAACCAUUUUGCAGAAAUGUAAGGGUAUUCGGUUGCGUGCAUGUGCGUUUUUAGCAACACAUCUACCAACCCUCUGCAUGAUUGAUGUUGGGGGGGGAGAAAAGUAGAAAAAAAGUUCCCAACUCAUUGUGUGUUAUGUGGAGGAAAUGUGUAUUACCAAUGGGGUUUUUAGCUUUUAAAUCAAAAUAUUACAAAUGUACAAUUUAGCUUAAGGAAUCAGAAAGCCUCUCCAGAGAAGUUUGGUUUCUUUGCUGCAAGAAUAAGGUUCUAAAACCUUAUCCAUGAACUUAGAAGCCAUCAGCCAAGUCACCACAUUUCUCUGUGCAAAAACAUCACAGCUUAUGUAAAUGUACAAUAUUCAGUUGUAAUGCAUGCUUUCAGUUGUAAGUAGCCAAUUUCUCUACAGUAACAUUGAAACAUGCUACUUUUUAAUUGGCCCUGUACAGUUUGCUUAUUUAUAAAUUCAUUAAAAACACUACAAGUGUUGAAUGGUUAAAUGUAGGCCUCCAGUUCAUAACUUUGGUUAUUUUUUUAGAGUGCAGACAGCUAUUUCGCACUGUAUUAAUUGUAACUUAUUUAAUGAAAGCAAAAGCAGUAGACAGAUGUUGGUGCAAUACAAAUAUUGUGAUGCAUUUAUCUUAAUAAAAUGCUCAAUGUCAAUUUAUCAACGCAUGUUUGACUUUAGACUGUAAAUAGAGAUCAGUUUGUUUCUUUCUGUGCUGGUAACAAUAAGUGUUGCACAGACAUGGUUUCAGGUAAAUAAAUCUAUUCUACGAUAAA